UUUGGAUCUAAUUGGAAGAGCAUACAUGUAUAGCAGUGUUCUUCUUUAUCAGGUUUCAGCAUGAUCAUCGCAAUUAAGAGAGGAAUAUUGAUGGUGUGGCCUCUCUCUUCUCGCAAGGAAUAUAUAUUUCUCCCAUGAACUUUAAUUUGAUGAUUCGAUUCCCACUUAGCUACCAAUCUAUGCAGCAGAAAAGCUUAAGGGCCAUGCUCUGAUCAAGAACUACUUUCUCAAGGCUCGGAGAGAGCAUCAUUGCAAUUUGCUAAUGUUUUUAUUCCUCCAUUGUGCUUUAUAGUGUUACCUUUUUUUUCCUCAACUACGGAAGAACAUCAAUAUUUGUAGUAAACUAGCU
Molecule: long non-coding RNA, 349 nt
Filed under: Populus tremula
Lineage: Eukaryota; Viridiplantae; Streptophyta; Magnoliopsida; Malpighiales; Salicaceae
Description: long non-coding RNA (PTRE_LNC000349)
Source: RNAcentral